Molecule: ribosomal RNA, 872 nt
Filed under: uncultured Neocallimastigales
Lineage: Eukaryota; Fungi; Neocallimastigomycota; Neocallimastigomycetes; Neocallimastigales
Description: partial large subunit ribosomal RNA
Rfam family: Eukaryotic large subunit ribosomal RNA (bases 89-872)
Source: RNAcentral
AUAUCAGUCAUGCAUAGCAUAUCAAUAAGCGGAGGAAAAGCAGACAAAGCAGAUGGCCGGCUACCUACGCUUAGGAUGUUGAAGAUGUAGCACAUCAUACACGCAUGACACACUGCAUAUCAAUAAGCGGAGGAAAAGAAACUAACAAGGAUUCCCUAGUAACGGCGAGUGAAGCGGGAAGAGCUCAAAUUUGAAAUCUUAAAGGGUUUCCCUUUACGAAUUGUAGUUUAAAGAAGUGUUUUCUGUUGAGGUUCUGGUAAAAGUUCUUUGGAAUAGGACAUCAUAGAGGGUGAGAAUCCCGUAUUUGACCUUUACUUUCAACUUUGUGAUACACUUUCAAAGAGUCGGAUUGUUUGGGAAUGCAGUCCAAAAUGGGUGGUAAAUUUCAUCUAAAGCUAAAUAUUGGCGAGAGACCGAUAGCGAACAAGUACCGUGAGGGAAAGAUGAAAAGAACUUUGAAAAGAGAGUUAAACAGUACGUGAAGUUGUCAAAAGGGAAGCGUUUGACACCAGUGUUGUUUUCUCGAAAAUCAAUUAAAAAAAGUUGGAUUUUGUGUUGUAUUGACCUUAACAGCUUUCUGCACUCUUUUCCUGCUUUUUUUAAUGCACUUUUCGUUUAACAAGUCAACAUCAGUUUCUUUUGUUGUAAAAGGGUCAUUGGAAGGUGGCUUUCUUUUCGGAGAAAGUGUUUAUAGCCUUUGAUCUCUGCAAUCGGAGAGACUGAGGUCUGCAGCGUAGAUCCUUCGGGGUUAGAUACAUUUGUGCUAAGUUAUAACUUUUCAUAGACAACUUGUUGACUAUGUUUUAGUCAUGUAGCUUACUCGCUUAUGCUAUUUUACCUACGCUUAGGAUGUUGAAGAUGUAGCACAUCAU